Molecule: non-coding RNA, 405 nt
Organism: Pelobates cultripes (western spadefoot toad)
Lineage: Eukaryota; Metazoa; Chordata; Amphibia; Anura; Pelobatidae
Source: the annotation of a GenBank genome assembly
UCACAUACUUUUUCUUGCAACUGUGUAUAUAUAUAUAUAUAUAUAUAUAUAUAUAUACAUAUAUAUAUAUAUAUAUAUAUAUAUAUAUAUUUUAAUUGGGGUAGUCCCCAAAAUAUUGGGACAUAUAAAAAAAAGACAACUCUGUUCUGUUGACAUUAUAGUUGCGCAGGAACUUUGUUGACUCUAGAGAACCUCGGGCAAAUCGCACAUCCCCAUGGUGGCGACUUUGCAUGCGGACGUCAUCCAUAUCAACUUUCGAUGCCAGUUUCUGCGCCUACCAGUGACCACGGGUAACGGGGAAUCAGGUUUCCAUUCUGUACAGGGACCCUGAGAAAUGGCUACCACAUGCAAGUAAGGCAGCAGGCGCGCAAAUGACCCACUCCCUAAGCGGGAAGGUAGUGAUGA